Long non-coding RNA from Ixodes scapularis (black-legged tick), 154 nucleotides. RefSeq lists it as uncharacterized. The record is from RefSeq and is a predicted model, not a curated record. Lineage: Eukaryota; Metazoa; Arthropoda; Arachnida; Ixodida; Ixodidae. The transcript is spliced from 3 exons.
UUUUCCACCACGCCAACUUCUUGUCUUCGAUCGUGCCGGAGUCCUGCAUGCUGAUCCUGCUGGGAACCCUCGUGGGCGGCAUCUCGCACUUCACGGACUCGGACUACGUGCCCACCUUCUCGCCGGACACUUUUUUUCUCUUUCUGCUUCCACC